Molecule: long non-coding RNA, 337 nt
Organism: Hippocampus comes (tiger tail seahorse)
Lineage: Eukaryota; Metazoa; Chordata; Actinopteri; Syngnathiformes; Syngnathidae
Exons: 3
Source: RefSeq, a predicted model, not a curated record
CAGAAAGUACAGAUUUGCGCCUUCAAACAUAAGGAGUCAGAAUAAAAGGUUUUCAGAAUAAUCAAUGCACAAGCACAGAUGCCUGAGAAGUCAGAAACAAAAUAUUUGUGUAUUGUUCCUUCCCACCAUUGUUUUGUCAUGUACUUGUAAUUGUCUUAUCUUUGUCAGGGUUCGCAAGGAGAGGCAGGCACACCUGGUCCCAAAGGGUCAAAGGGCGAAAGUGGAGACAAAGGAGACUUUGGGCCUUCAGGGCCAAAGGGCCCGCCUGGGCAAAAAGGAGACCAGGGGGCCACUGAAAUUAUUGACUACAAUGGGAACAUUCAGGAAGCGUUGAAGG